GAUGAACGCUGGCGGCGUGCCUAAUACAUGCAAGUCGAGCGAACGGACGAGAAGCUUGCUUUUCUGAUGUUAGCGGCGGACGGGUGAGUAACACGUGGAUAACCUACCUAUAAGACUGGGAUAACUUCGGGAAACCGGAGCUAAUACCGGAUAAUAUUUUGAACCGCAUGGUUCAAAAGUGAAAGACGGUCUUGCUGUCACUUAUAGAUGGAUCCGCGCUGCAUUAGCUAGUUGGUAAGGUAACGGCUUACCAAGGCAACGAUGCAUAGCCGACCUGAGAGGGUGAUCGGCCACACUGGAUCUGCGACACGGUCCAGACUCCUACGGGAGGCAGCAGUAGGGAAUCUUCCGCAAUGGGCGAAAGCCUGCCGGAGCAACGCCGCGUGAGUGAUGAAGGUCUUCGGAUCGUAAAACUCUGUUAUUAGGGAAGAACAUAUGUGUAAGUAACUGUGCACAUCGUGACGGUACCUAAUCAGAAAGCCACGGCUAACUACGUG
RNAcentral lists this ribosomal RNA (497 nucleotides) under uncultured bacterium. Its description in RNAcentral is "partial 16S ribosomal RNA". It matches the Rfam family "Bacterial small subunit ribosomal RNA", at positions 28 to 507 of the family's 1533-position model. The record is from RNAcentral.